UGUACACACAAUGCAGCAAACCAGCGAACUGUUGUUGUCCCUCGAGGGGCCUCAUCCGGAGGUGAGGCCGCUGAUGGCUUGGAUCGGCCGAGAGGCCGGCCCGUGGGCGAGACGGGUGCUUGCCGUCGGCCGGGGUGUCCCAUACUUGCGGUUCUGGUCGUCGGAGGCUUGGACUCCCCUGAUGGGGGAAGAAAAGCCGGCGGCGGCCGGGGUCGGGCCCUCCCCUCCCCCUUUGUCUCCGUCUUUGGGGGCUCUGGGGCCGCUUUUUCCACAAGCACCUUGAGGAACAUGAAUGUAGAGACUGAGCCUGGGGCCUUGCAUUGCCUUUGCGGGCAGCGCAACGGCCCGAGUCGAAAACCAAAACAACGACUCUCAGCAACGGAUAUCUUGGCUCUUGCAACGAUGAAGAACGCAGCGAAAUGCGAUACCUAGUGUGAAUUGCAGAAUUCCGCGAAUCAUCGAGUCUUUGAACGCAAGUUGCGCCCGAGGCUUGUCCCGAGGGCAUGCCUGCCUGAGCGUCACCGCACUCCCACCUGGAAAUCUCUCCAGUGUGGAACUGGCCGUCCGGGACCCGGCGUGAAGCUAUGGGUUCCGGUUGGCUGAAAUGCAGCGAUCUGGACGCAGCCCGAGAGAGAGGCCGCGAGAAGGUGAUCUGCCCUUUGUUGGGCAGAGUCUAAUUGGACAGCGCCUCUCCUCUAGGGCGGUCUGAUCGGCGAGCAGGAGGGCGAGCCUUUGGUUCCCUCCCCUGCAUCAGUGGGGGGAGUGCGAGUAACUCCGCGCUUCCCCUCCCUAUGGCUUGGACCUCAGAUCAGGCAAGAUUACCCGCUGAGUUUAAGCAUAUCACUAAGCG
This 850-nucleotide ribosomal RNA is filed under the name Chiloscyphus fasciculatus. RNAcentral describes it as "eukaryotic LSU rRNA". The stretch from base 368 to 521 matches the Rfam family "5.8S ribosomal RNA". Lineage: Eukaryota; Viridiplantae; Streptophyta; Jungermanniopsida; Jungermanniales; Lophocoleaceae. The record is from RNAcentral.